UACAGAGGUCCCAAGCGUUGUUCGGAUUCACUGGGCGUAAAGGGUACGUAGGUGGCCGGGUAAGUCUGACGUGAAAUCUCCAAGCUCAACUUGGAAACUGCGUCGGAUACUAUCCGGCUAGAGGAUCGGAGGGGAGACUGGAAUACUUGGUGUAGCAGUGAAAUGCGUAGAUAUCAAGUGGAACACCAGUGGCGAAGGCGAGUCUCUGGACGAUUCCUGACACUGAGGCACGAAAGCCAGGGGAGCAAACGGG
Molecule: ribosomal RNA, 253 nt
Filed under: uncultured bacterium
Lineage: Bacteria
Description: partial 16S ribosomal RNA
Rfam family: Bacterial small subunit ribosomal RNA
Source: RNAcentral